RNAcentral lists this transfer RNA (65 nucleotides) under Haplomitrium hookeri. RNAcentral describes it as "partial tRNA-Leu". It matches the Rfam family "tRNA", at positions 22 to 71 of the family's 71-position model. From Rfam's summary of the family: Transfer RNA (tRNA) molecules are approximately 80 nucleotides in length. The record is from RNAcentral. Lineage: Eukaryota; Viridiplantae; Streptophyta; Haplomitriopsida; Calobryales; Haplomitriaceae.
CGCUACGGACUUAAAAUCCGUUGGCUUUUUCAGACCGUGAGGGUUCAAGUCCCUCUAUCCCCACA